RNAcentral lists this ribosomal RNA (462 nucleotides) under uncultured bacterium. RNAcentral's name for it is "bacterial SSU rRNA". It matches the Rfam family "Bacterial small subunit ribosomal RNA", at positions 355 to 825 of the family's 1533-position model. The record is from RNAcentral.
UGGGGAAUAUUGGACAAUGGGCGCAAGCCUGAUGACGCAACGCCGCGUGGAGGAUGAAGGUCUUCGGAUUGUAAACCCCUUUCGGCAGGGAAGAUGGAACGGGUAACCGUUCGGACGGUACCUGCAGAAGCAGCCACGGCUAACUUCGUGCCAGCAGCCGCGGUAAUACGAAGGUGGCAAGCGUUGUUCGGAUUUACUGGGCGUACAGGGAGCGUAGGCGGUUGGGUAAGCCCUCCGUGAAAUCUCCGGGCCUAACCCGGAAAGUGCGGAGGGGACUGCUCGGCUAGAGGAUGGGAGAGGAGCGCGGAAUUCCCGGUGUAGCGGUGAAAUGCGUAGAGAUCGGGAGGAAGGCCGGUGGCGAAGGCGGCGCUCUGGAACAUUUCUGACGCUGAGGCUCGAAAGCGUGGGGAGCAAACAGGAUUAGAUACCCAAGUAGUCCCUGAGCGGGCUGGCAAGGCGCAU